AGCAGUCGCGGUAAUUCCAGCUCCAAUAGCGUAUAUUAAAGUUGUUGCAGUUAAAAAGCUCGUAGUUGAAUUUCGGGAUCAAUUAAUUGGUCGUGCCUAUGGUACGUACUGAUUUUAUUGGUUUCUCCCUUCUGACGAACCAUGAUGUCAUUAAUUUGGUGUCAUGGAGAAUCAGGACUGUUACUUUGAAAAAAUUAGAGUGUUUAAAGCAGGCUAACGCUUGAAUACAUUAGCAUGGAAUAAUGAAAUAGGACGUUUGAUCCUAUUUUGUUGGUUUCUAGGAUCGACGUAAUGAUUAAUAGGGAUAGUUGGGGGCAUUAGUAUUCAAUUGUCAGAGGUGAAAUUCUUGGAUUUAUUGAAGACUAACUACUGCGAAAGCAUUUGCCAAGGAUGUUUUCAUUAAUCAAGAACGAAAGUUAGGGGAUCGAAGACGAUCAGAUACCGUCGUAGUCUUAACCAUAAACUAUGCCGACUAGGGAUCGGAUGAUGUUAAUUUUUUAAUGACUCAUUCGGCGCCUUA
This 520-nucleotide ribosomal RNA is filed under the name uncultured Glomus. RNAcentral's name for it is "SSU rRNA". It matches the Rfam family "Eukaryotic small subunit ribosomal RNA", at positions 569 to 1090 of the family's 1831-position model. Lineage: Eukaryota; Fungi; Glomeromycota; Glomeromycetes; Glomerales; Glomeraceae. The record is from RNAcentral.